UUUCUCCAUGCACUCUCAGCACAGACAGACCGGUGGAAAUACUACAGUGCGCGCACAAACACACGCACUCUAGUCUACACACAUUCCACAGACACUUGCAGACGCUUGUGUAACGCGGACUCCACUAGAUACCGUAGCAGCUGGUGCUGCGAACUCAAGUCAACAAGAGGAAACAUCCACGAGCCGUGACAUCCUCGGAGUCGGCUCCGUUUACACAUCCGUACUCCACUCGCAUACUCAGACAGACAAGGACUCUUUCGGGACAGCUUCAGUGUUACUGUCUACCUUUGCGAAAUUUCUAUAAACCAAGAAGGAUUGAAACACAGAUUUUGAUAUCAUUUUUCAGUGCGUGUUGGAGCGCCUAUAUAUUAUCUUUGUGGCAUGUUGUAGCGCACCGCCAGAGGAAGACAGCGACCAUACACAUGCUGGCUGGACACCGGUCCCUAGGUCAAGUUCAGUCUCUGACCCCCACCCCUCACCUUUGACCCCUCACCUCGGAUGGAAGAACGCACCCAUUCCUUUAGGAGGUUGAAGUUGAUGAGUUCCCCCAGCCUCAGUGACCUGGGGAAGAGUGACAAGGCAGCGUUGGAGGAGAGAGGGACACAGCAGAGAAAAGCUGGGGCUAACGCCACCUGGAACAGCAUCCACAAUGCGGUGAUAGCUGUGUUCCAGAGGAAAGACCUGGGAGAGAAUGACCUCUACAUCCUCAAUGAGGGAGUCAGGCAACUACUGAAGACAGAGCUGGGCUCUUUCUUCACCGAAUACCUCCAGAAUCAGCUGCUGACAAAGGGAAUGGUGAUACUGAGGGACAAAAUGCGUUUCUAUGAAGGUCAGAAGCUAUUGGACUCCUUGGCAGAGACGUGGGACUUCUUCUUCUGUGAUGUUCUGUCCAUGCUUCAGGCUAUCUUCUACCCAGUACAGGGUAAGGAGCCGUCGGUGCGGCAGCUGGCCCUGCUUCACUUCAGGAGCAUUAUCACUCUGAACAUCAAGCUGGAGGACGCCCUGUCCCGCCCCCGCGCCCGUGUCCCCCCCUCUAUCAUACAGAUGUUACUGAUACUGCAGGGUGUCCAUGAGUCUAAAGGAGUGACUGAGGAGUACCUGCGUCUGGAAGCUUUGGUUCAGAAGGUGGUGUCUCCAUACCUGGGAACCCACGGCCUCUACUCCAACGACGGAUCCUCAAUGCAAUACUCCUCCUGCGUACUGGAAAAGCGUCUGCAGCGGUGCUGGCCCAAGUCAGGCGACGCCCCCGUGAAGAACCCGGUGAUGCGCUCCAAGUCCUACAACGUGCCCAUGUUGACGCCUGUGGUGGAGUAUGAUACAGAGACAGGCUCCGUGAGCAGCAUGGGCAUCCGCCGCCAUUCCGUCUGCGAGAUGACUUCCUGUCUGGAAGAAGGCGCCAUCAACGACAUCAGCACCACUUCCUCCCUGGCCUCCGCGGCCCAGCCGGGCCUCUCCUCCCUGGGGCAGGAGCUCAGCCUGACAGGGGUUGUUUGUGGUGGAGGUGGUGGAAGUCUGGAUCUCUGUGGGUCUGUGGGGUCUGAGUCUUUGGGGUUCCACCUCCAGCCCUCCAUCUUUCAGGCCUCUCACUCCCCAGGACCCUUCCUACACGGCGGGGGGGAGUCGACGGUGUCCCCCUCUGUUCUGUGUCAGGUCCACUCUGGUUCAGAGACGGGGUCGAUCCCCAGCUGUUCCUCCAGCCCGGAGACAGUGGUAGAUCAGAUACUGGACUCUAUGGACUCUGACCCUGAUGGCAUCUUCAUAGACUUCUCCCUCCACAGCUGCUCAGACUCCUCAUCCUCUGGUUACAGCAGGGAGAGUGGUAGACAGAGUGUGGUGUAAUUUGGGGUUUUCUGGUAACUAAUCACAGUUGGAUGAUCUAUGUGAUUGCCUGCUUAUUCACUACUGAUUUUCUGGAAAAUCUGUGACUAGUGAGAAAGUGUCUGGAGAUUUGCAGCCCUAGAGGUCUGAUGAAUCUCAAGGGAUUAUCACACGUACUGACACCAUCUGUACUCCACUCACACUGUCGUCUCUAAAAACACACCGCUCUUUCUGGGGUCUAUUUUUCAUGGAAUAUUUCUACAGUAAAUGACCUUUUAUUUAAAAAAAAUGUUUUGCUUGAUUUUCACUUCUAGUGCUUCAUUUUGAGGAUUAACUGUACUUAUUUGUAUUUGUUUUACUGAUGAUCAGUGACUGACAACUUUGAAACAGUCUGAGGUGUCUCUUCAAGUCUUGUGGAAAGGAAACAGUCUGAGGUGUCUCUUCAAGUCUUGUGGAAGGAAACAGUCUGAGGUGUCUCUUCAGGUCUUGUGGAAGGAAACAGUCUGAGGUGUCUCUUCAGGUCUUGUGGAAGGAAACAGUCUGAGGUGUCUCUUCAGGUCUUGUGGAAGGAAACAGUCUGAGGUGUCUCUUCAGGUCUUGUGGAAAGGAAACAGUCUGAGGUGUCUCUUCAAGUCUUGUGGAAGGAAACAGUCUGAGGUGUCUCUUCAGGUCUUGUGGAAGGAAACAGUCUGAGGUGUCUCUUCAGGUCUUGUGGAAGGAAACAGUCUGAGGUGUCUCUUCAGGUCUUGUGGAAGGAAACAGUCUGAGGUGUCUCUUCAGGUCUUGUGGAAAGGAAACAGUCUGAGGUCUCUCUUCAAGUCUUGUGGAAAGGAAACAGUCUGAGGUGUCUCUUCAAGUCUUGUGGAAAGGAAACAGUCUGAGGUGUCUCUUCAGGUCUUGUGGAAGGAAACAGUCUGAGGUGUCUCUUCAGGUCUUGUGGAAGGAAACAGUCUGAGGUGUCUCUUCAGGUCUUCAAGGCCCAGUGGAAAGGAGGAGAGAUCAAUCAGACCAAGCUGAGCUCUCUGGGAUGAGCCACACCUGGUUCACCAGAGUUCAUUGCUUUUGCAACAUGUCUCUUGUUCAAGAGGCAGUGCUGGGGAGAGGAGAUAAGAUAGUGUUCACAUGGCUUCAUUUUAAGCAGUAGGUAUCGUGUAGGCCUGGGUGAUAUUUCUGCCACAGUGAUCUGUGGCUGGGCCUUUGUUUCUGCUUCAACAUCGCCCCCAUGUGGACAGGAUGUGCAAGUGCCUGCUGCGCCAGAGUCAAAUCUUUAAUGUUAAAUACACAAAGAGAUGUGUUUUGGAACGUGAAGGGAUCUGGUGGCUCAGUGGUAAGGAUCUCACCCCAUAAGCAUGGCGUCGUAGGUAUGUUUCCUGACAAAGCCUGGAGGACUGUGACAACUGCUGGGGGUUUCCCCUCCUGUGAACAGCAGCAGUUAUGGGGGAAAACCUCUGGGAAAAGUAGACCUGUAGGUUUUAAAAAAGAUCCAUUUGAAAAUUAAGGGUCAACUUUCUCAGAGGUUUAUGACCACAACACAUCCUGAUCCAGAGCUGUGACUUGAACCUACAACCCUGAACAUAUGGGGUGAGAUCUUUACACCAGAGCCCCAGACUCCUUCACACCUCUAACUGUUUUCUUUGUUAUUUUCACGUUGAGAAUUGCUGAAAUUACCAAUAACUCAAACCUAAGAUUUGAACCCAUAACCUCUAUGGUUGAAGAUAGGAAAUGAACCUCAAAGCCACAGACUCUCACACUUCUAGCUCUUCUUACUACGAUCCAAAUAGUUAAACACAUGCCUUCUCUCAACUAAUGAUUUACUGAGAUCGUUUGUAUUGUAAAUGACCUUGUAUGACACAGCCAUGUACAAUUUAUGGAGUUGGUUUUAUGAUUUUCUAAACACAAUGACACGUUGAAAUGUAUUGCCAUUAAUUAUUGUAGCACUUGAUGGACAAGUCAUUCUGAUUUGAUCUCAUGAUUAUGUCAAACGGAACCUCAACUCAAACUUGACAUUUAAUGCAGAAUUUUUGUUGGUCUGUUCAAGAUUCUGGGCGCGAUUCAAUCCGUAGUGCUGAAGAUCUGCUUACAGCGCGAUUCAAUCCGUAGUGCUGAAGAUCUGCUGUAGUGUGAUUCAAUCCGUAGUGCUGAAGAUCUGCUGUACAGCGCGAUUCAAUCCGCAGUGUUGAAGAUCUGCUGUACAGCGCGAUUCAAUCCGCAGUGCUGAAGAUCUGCUGUAGUGUGAUUCAAUCCACAGUGCUGAAGAUCUGCUGUACAGCUUGAUUCAAUCCGCAGUGCUGAAGAUCUGCUGUACAGCGUGAUUCAAUCCGCAGUGCUGAAGAUCUGCUGUACAGCGUGAUUCAAUCCGCAGUGCUGAAGAUCUGCUGUACAGCGUGAUUCAAUCCGUAGUGCUGAAGAUCUGCUGUACAGCGUGAUUCAAUCCGUAGUGCUGAAGAUCUG
Oncorhynchus gorbuscha (pink salmon) is the source of this 4269-nucleotide RNA transcript. It is a transcript of the gene named proline-rich protein 5-like, with no coding region annotated. The transcript is spliced from 12 exons. NCBI's taxonomy places the organism in Eukaryota, Metazoa, Chordata, Actinopteri, Salmoniformes, Salmonidae. The record is from RefSeq and is a predicted model, not a curated record.